CCUACGGGCGGCAGCAGUGGGGAAUAUUGGUCAAUGGGCGAAAGCCUGAUCCAGCCAUGCCGCGUGUGUGAAGAAGGCCUUCGGGUUGUAAAGCACUUUCAGUGGGGAAGAAAGCCUUGGGGCUAAUACCCUCGAGGAAGGACAUCACCCACAGAAGAAGCACCGGCUAACUCCGUGCCAGCAGCCGCGGUAAUACGGAGGGUGCGAGCGUUAAUCGGAAUUACUGGGCGUAAAGCGCGCGUAGGCGGUCUGAUAAGCCGGUUGUGAAAGCCCCGGGCUCAACCUGGGAACGGCAUCCGGAACUGUCAGGCUAGAGUGCAGGAGAGGAAGGUAGAAUUCCCGGUGUAGCGGUGAAAUGCGUAGAGAUCGGGAGGAAUACCAGUGGCGAAGGCGGCCUUCUGGACUGACACUGACGCUGAGGUGCGAAAGCGUGGGUAGCAAACAGGAUUAGAUACCCCGGUAGUC
RNAcentral lists this ribosomal RNA (465 nucleotides) under Vreelandella stevensii. RNAcentral describes it as "partial 16S ribosomal RNA". It matches the Rfam family "Bacterial small subunit ribosomal RNA", at positions 338 to 795 of the family's 1533-position model. The record is from RNAcentral. Lineage: Bacteria; Pseudomonadati; Pseudomonadota; Gammaproteobacteria; Oceanospirillales; Halomonadaceae.